RNAcentral lists this ribosomal RNA (481 nucleotides) under uncultured bacterium. RNAcentral describes it as "partial 16S ribosomal RNA". It matches the Rfam family "Bacterial small subunit ribosomal RNA", at positions 28 to 523 of the family's 1533-position model. The record is from RNAcentral.
GACGAACGCUGGCGGCGUGCUUAACACAUGCAAGUCGAGCGGUAAGGCUCCUUCGGGAGUACACGAGCGGCGAACGGGUGAGUAACACGUGAGCAAUCUGCCCUUCACACGGGGAUAACUUCGGGAAACCGAAGCUAAUACCCGAUACGACCACCUCAGGCAUCUGAUGGUGGUGGAAAGUUCCGGCGGUGAAGGAUGAGCUCGCGGCCUAUCAGCUUGUUGGUGGGGUAACGGCCCACCAAGGCAACGACGGGUAGCCGGCCUGAGAGGGUGACCGGCCACACUGGGACUGAGACACGGCCCAGACUCCUACGGGAGGCAGCAGUGGGGAAUAUUGGACAAUGGGCGAAAGCCUGAUCCAGCAACGCCGCGUGAGGGAUGACGGCCUUCGGGUUGUAAACCUCUUUCAGCAGGGACGAAGCGCAAGUGACGGUACCUGCAGAAGAAGCACCGGCCAACUACGUGCCAGCCGCCGCAGUAA